This 324-nucleotide ribosomal RNA is filed under the name Phylladiorhynchus talaus. RNAcentral's name for it is "partial large subunit ribosomal RNA". It matches the Rfam family "Eukaryotic large subunit ribosomal RNA", at positions 817 to 1138 of the family's 3401-position model. The record is from RNAcentral. Lineage: Eukaryota; Metazoa; Arthropoda; Malacostraca; Decapoda; Galatheidae.
CGAAAGAUGGUGAACUAUUCCUGGCCAGGAUGAAGCCAGAGGAAACUCUGGUGGAGGUCCGUAGCAAUUCUGACGUGCAAAUCGAUUGUCAGAGCUGGGUAUAGGGGCGAAAGACUAAUCGAAUUGUCUAGUAGCUGGUUCCCCCCGAAGUUUCCCUCAGGAAAGCUGGUACUUAUUCAAUGAUUUUCAUCUUUUAAAGCGAAUGAUUAGAGGUGUUGGGGACGAAAUGUCCUCAGCCUAUUCUCAAACUUUAAAUGGGUGAGAUGUCAAGCUUUCUUUUUUGAAGCAUUGGCGAUAAAUCAGAGUAUCAAGUGGGCCAAUUUU